AGGAGGCUUCGGUCUCUGGAGAGCGGCGAACGGGUGAGUAACACGUGGGUAAUCUGCCUGGGAGCGGGGGAUAACCUGGGGAAACUCGGGCUAAUACCGCAUACGUUGGUUGGAUUUUGGUUCGACCAAGAAAGCUGGCCUCUACAUGUAAGCUAGUGUUCCCAGAGGAGCCCGCGGCUGAUUAGCUAGUUGGUGAGGUAAAGGCUCACCAAGGCGACGAUCAGUAGCCGGCCUGAGAGGGUGAUCGGCCACACUGGGACUGAGACACGGCCCAGACUCCUACGGGAGGCAGCAGUGGGGAAUAUUGGACAAUGGGCGCAAGCCUGAUCCAGCAACGCCGCGUGGAGGAUGAAGGUCUUCGGA
This 363-nucleotide ribosomal RNA is filed under the name uncultured bacterium. Its description in RNAcentral is "bacterial SSU rRNA". It matches the Rfam family "Bacterial small subunit ribosomal RNA", at positions 72 to 422 of the family's 1533-position model. The record is from RNAcentral.